GAUAAGGUGUAGGGCUCAGGCAGUUUCAAUCUGAAGAAGCAUCCUUCCGGCGUAAGGGAAACCGGUGCAAUACCGGUGCUGCCCCGCAACUGUGAGGGGGGACCGAUGCCGCAGUGAUGCCACUGUCCGAAGGGACGGGAAGGCGCGGCAGGCGGGAUGAUCCCCGAGCCAGGAGACCUGGCUGGAAGGCGACAACACAC
This 200-nucleotide non-coding RNA is filed under the name Geobacter sulfurreducens PCA. The record is from RNAcentral. Lineage: Bacteria; Pseudomonadati; Thermodesulfobacteriota; Desulfuromonadia; Geobacterales; Geobacteraceae.